UACGGAGGGUGCAAGCGUUAAUCGGAUUUAUUGGGCGUAAAGGGCGCGUAGGCGGGGAAGCAAGUUAGAUGUGAAAUCCCGGGGCUCAACUCCGGACCCGCAUCUAGUACUGCUUUUCUAGAGGUUGGAUGGAGAAAAGGGAAUUCCACGUGUAGCGGUGAAAUGCGUAGAUAUGUGGAAGAACACCGGUGGCGAAGGCGCUUUUCUAAUUCACACCUGACGCUGAAGCGCGAAAGCAAGGGGAGCAAACAGG
RNAcentral lists this ribosomal RNA (253 nucleotides) under uncultured bacterium. RNAcentral's name for it is "partial 16S ribosomal RNA". It matches the Rfam family "Bacterial small subunit ribosomal RNA", at positions 524 to 776 of the family's 1533-position model. The record is from RNAcentral.